Long non-coding RNA from Ananas comosus (pineapple), 1138 nucleotides. RefSeq lists it as uncharacterized. NCBI's taxonomy places the organism in Eukaryota, Viridiplantae, Streptophyta, Magnoliopsida, Poales, Bromeliaceae. The record is from RefSeq and is a predicted model, not a curated record. The transcript has 2 exons.
UAUGGAGCAAAAUUCUGUAAUCUCAUGUUAAUUGUUCAUUAGUAUUUUGUGAAUAUGAAAUUUGCAGUCUAAUUAAAAGAGGGCCAGGUUUUAGGAAUUAAAAUUAGUAGCUGCUAAUUUUUGGCUUUUUCUGCAGCGACGGCGUCUAAUUAAACGGAUCUCCUGCUUUCAGUUUUGCUGUGUAAGCCUUACAUAACGUCGUUUACUCAUGUCGUUACAACGUGGCACCUUUUUUUAAUUCCUUUUUAUGGUUAAUCACCAUAGGGAGAUGGGAAAAGUAAUGGUGGAUAUAUAUAGGUUUGAUGACGAUAAUUUAAGAAGUACACAAAAAAAAAAAGGAAACUAAAAAGACACUUUUACUAGUGGGAAUAGUAGUUGAAAAGAUAAGAAAAUGGAGAAAGCUUUGUAUUACAGUAAUCCCAAGUUAAUUGUCAGUUAAUAUAACUAUUAUGCAUUUUGAAUUUUGUAAGUCAAUUCUUCCAGCAAUCUAAUGGUGGCUUCUAAAUUUAUUAUUAUUAUUUUUUUAUCUCGCGCAAUUGAUUGACACCUUUUCCCGAGGAGCAGAUUGUAUUGGUUUUCGGACCCACACUUAGAACUUUUCAUGAGAUUUGUAGAAAUUGCGGUAUUGUAUAAAAAAUUAUAAAAUAGGUACUUUUUAGGGAAAAAACAAAACUCAGCCCAUCUUUCGAGCAUAACGGAAAUCCAAAUUUCUAAUUAUUGUGUUGAAGUUGAUAUAUACAUGCAUGUAUCUGCUGCGAAAUGUUGUGAUCAGUAAAUUAUGUGCAGGUGAAUUCAAUCUUCCAUGUGCUGAGUUCAUCCUCCAACAACUUAUUAACGCUGAGAUCUGAAUAUUGCAUUGGUGUCAUUAAACCAGCAGUGCAUACAUAGUGGUGGCCAUCUAGAAGCAAUAAGAAUCGCUGAGGUGGCUUGAAGUUAACAUCAACCUUUUGCAAAAUUUUGGCUCGUUGGAUGGGGCCCGUUUAGCACCGAUCACCUGCAGGACUGAGCUGUUUCCAAAGGAUUAAUCCAUGUCAGAUGUUUGGAGGAUUUUAUUUAAUUUUUUGGCUGUAAGACAGGAAAUGAUAGUAUAUAUAGAAUUUAGCUACUAUCCUAUUAAUAGAUUAAGAUCAUUGUCUUA